Uranotaenia lowii is the source of this 3691-nucleotide long non-coding RNA. RefSeq lists it as uncharacterized. NCBI's taxonomy places the organism in Eukaryota, Metazoa, Arthropoda, Insecta, Diptera, Culicidae. The record is from RefSeq and is a predicted model, not a curated record. The transcript is spliced from 3 exons.
CGAAAAUUUUCGGUAAUUGAAUAAACUGACGUCUAUUUUUACAAAUAUUCGUUAAUCCAUAUCUAGAAUUAACGAAGCUCGUUUAUCGAUAUGUAAACAAAUCAUUUUGCAAACUAUUUUCGGUAAAAAAACGCCGAAAACUGUAAAAAAAACUGAAAACAGCAUGCGUCGCUGUCAGAAACAAACAGCAAUUUUUUUUUCACUGUCUCACUCUCCCAGCCGUGAUAAGUUAAACGCAUCUCGCUUUCUCCAUUCAUGGCCUCUCUUGCCUCUAGUCUUGAGUUAUUUUUUGCGCGGGCGAGAUCAAGUAGCCAUGAUUGUUGCGCUAAAAACAUCGGUCGAAUUUGGAAUGUCUGGCUCUUUUAGCUGGAUUUGGUUGGUAAUCGACUUCAACUCCGGUAGUGGUGGUAGGUAGUUUUGUUUUCUUCCACAAAGCAAACGAAAAAUCCCCAAAAUAAGAAGUUGAAGUGUGCGGAAACUCUCUGUUUUUCUUCAUUGCGCAUGAAUUGUUUAAAAUAUCUUUUUCAGGACCUAACAGCUCCACAAUCUCACCAAUGCACCGCUACCUGACGGAAUCAUCUCCAAGUUUUGUCUGUUCCCUAUCGGUGUUUCGGUCGAGAACUUAGCCAGUAUGCCCAAGUUGAUGGAUCAUGAGUGAUAUGCAGUGUAACAGACCGACCUGAUUGGGGCAUUAAUUGCCCUAACCCAGACCGUCAAAACCAUCAAUGGGAAACAGCAGAGCAGAAUGCGCUUACAUAAUUGUAAAAGCUGACAAACAGCAUAAAUUUGCCGGUGAAACAGUAAAGGUAUAAUCAAAUUAUUGGAAAUCAUUGAUUUUCAACAAAAACUAUCUUUCAGCUGGAUGUCGUUGUAGUUUUAUAAUAAAUCUUCGUUACAUACAUUUGUAAUGGCUCAAAACUCUAUAAUUAAUCAUUUUUUUGAAAUUUCAGGUUUCUCCUGGUCUGUUUUCGAUGCUAUCGGUUUUUUUUCUAGACAGCUCUACAAGUACAACUCGGAGUGAACUAGAUCGGAUAACCUAUCGGUCUAUAAAAAGGAUGAAGCGAAAAAAGAAAUAAAAUCACUGGUGCGAUUUAACUGCAAUGCUGACUAACGUAAUCAUCGUAACUUCCGGGUGGCAGGAGACAUCAUUUGGAAGAUCAUGUUCAUAUUCAUAAACAACUAAAAAAAUUACCAAUAUAAAGAAUAAUAUUAAAAGUAACCGAACAGCAUUCGGCAAGGCAAUCGGAAACCGAUAUCACCGAAGCGAACAAUAAAAUUACAAUUACAAUUACAAUUACAACACUUCGGAAGCUAUUAUGAUGAAAAAAGUUCCCGUUCGUGGCUUAAAAGUUCCUGACGAUGAGGUGGUGUGAAACGGUAAUGAUGACUAAGACUUACCAGCAAUAUCCAGGCUGGUAAAUCUUAGUAAAAAUUGUUAUAACUGUGUUAAUCUUUCUAGAUUAUUCUUGUCAAAUAUAGAAGCCCAAGGUGCGUUAACGAGCUAGCUGUAUCAUGCAAAUGAAUUUCAUUCUCAAAUACGUAACAACAAAUCGGUGUCGGAAAUCCGGGAGCGUUUUUCCAACCGCAUAACAAACCUCUCGUCAGCUUUAAGCCACGUAUGCAGAAUCAACUCUAAUAAUCCUAAGCAAUCAAGUAUCGGAGGAUUCACGAGCGCAGUACGGCCAGUGAUGAUACUUCCAACACGGAACAAAAACGGACGAGGAGGUUGAUGAAUAAAAAUUCUAUCAUUAAGGACACCAUCAUCGAUGACCACGGAAAAAGGAUAAGGAGUAAAAAUUUCAAACGUCGUCGAAGAUGUCAGAGUCACCUGCAAACUGAAACUUCCUGGCUAAGAUGACGACAUAAGAGAUGAAACAAGAUAUAAAGAGGAUUAAAUUGUGAACCUGGUCCAUAAAAUAGACAUAUUAAGACACAAUCAGCAGCAUGACAACGGAUUCAAAGCAAUCUCGAGUGGCGGAUUUUAAGAUUAUCGUUCUGGAUCACGUGUCACUAGAUAAAGAUCACACUUUGGUUUCGAUAGACUCAUACUGGUUGCUGUUCUACGAACUUACUUAGAGAUCAAUAUGCUGUGUUAUAGUUGUGUUUUUAUAAUAUUUUCACUUCUCAUGCGACAAGGAAAAGUAGUGAAAUGUUUUCAUUUUCUUCCAUGCAACUUUCCCUAAAUUUGAAAAACAGUUAUAAUUUUUAGUGACUGUAUUAAAAUGUGAUAAGCAAACAGAAAAUGCAAAUUUAAAAAAAUGUCUCAGGCAUAUUUUUACUGAUUAUAUGACUGAAACAUGAGCAGCUAUAUUUUUCUCAUUAUUUCACAUUAUCCUUCUUUUCAGGCCUCAAAAACAUGAUAGAAGCUUUCAAAAGUACUUAUAAAAUUAAUAAAAAUGACUCCAAUUUUCAAAAACGAUUAUUGUAUUAAACUAAUUAAAGACUGACUUUCAACGAGGAUAUGAUGAUGAAGGCGCUUAAGGCACGGCAUUCGAUGUAAGAUGCGAGUCGAAAAAGUUGUUUGAUUUCAGGAGGCGCUUCAUGUAAAAAAGUCGAUUUGCCUGAGCCUCUAAAUAAUGAUAAGUGUUUCCGAAAAACGGCAAGUUCGGAAAGUUCCGCUAAUGCUACUCAGCGCAGAUAGUAAACACUAAACAGCAUGUCUGUUAAGAAAUGUUGUGAGGCGUUAACAAUAUAUGUAUAUUAAUUUAAUUCCUGUUUUAUAUUUUUGAGCUACAGUUUUUGAUUCAUUGAUUUUCACAAUUCUCAAUAAGGCAUGGAUCCCGAUGGGAAGGUCGAAAUCCUGAAUUACCGAUGUGGUUUAUUUCGCACAGCACGAACUUCGAUGUGAGAUAACACGAGUCGAUUCCAGAAAGUGCUCCAUGCAAAAAAACGUCGUUUUAACUGAGCCUCUAAUGCUCAUCAGAAUGGAUAUGUUUCGCUUGUAGUGUCGUCUGAAAAUGCCAAUAAUAUUUACUGAAAACUGUGAAACGUUCGUAAAUGUUUACCGAACAUCGUAAAACAUUCGGUAAUUUCAGUUUUGGUGCACGGCGUAUAACGCGAAAUGAUUCGAGACUCGAGUCAUCUCGCGUAAUAAUCUGUGCAUCAUAAACUCAAAUUAUCGAAUAUUUUACGGUGUUCGGUUAAAACUCCUAAAUUUGGCAGUUUUCGGUUAAUAUUACUGGUAUUUUCAGACGACACUACAAGCGAAACAUAUCCAUUCUGAUGAGCAUUAGAGGCUCAGUCAAAACGACGUUAUUUUAGCAUGGAGCACUUUCUCGAAUCGACUCGUGUUAUCUCACAUCAAAGUUCGUUAUUUCGGUAAAAAUAAAAAAUACCCAUUUUUCGGUAAAAAAUACCGAUUUUUCGGUAAAUGUUACCGAAAUUUCGGUAGUAAUUACAGACAUAUCGGUAAAAAUCACCGGAUUUUUGGUAAAUAUUACCGAACUUUUUGAAGUUGUCUGGUAAAAUUUACCGGUAAUUCGGUAGUAAUUACAGAUAUUUCGGUAAACUCUACAGAUUUUUCGGUAAAUAUUACCGAUAUUUUACAGUUUUUUCGGUAAAAAUGAUCCAUAUUUCGAUUAUAAUUACGGUAUUUCGGUAAAAAUUUUAGGGAUUUCGGUAAAAAAUUUAGGGAUUUCGGUAAACAUUUUAGGGAUUUCGGUUAGAGUUUUAGGUAUUUCGGUAAUAAUUA